CACGUAGUUAGCCGUGACUUUCUGGCGGGGCACCAUCAGUCAGCACCCAUUUCCUGAUGCUGCCUUUUUUCCCCCGCAACAGAGCUUUACGACCCGAAGGCCUUCUUCACUCACGCGGCAUCGCUCGUUCAGGCUUGCGCCCAUUGACGAAAAUUCCCUACUGCUGCCUCCCGCAGGAGUCUGGGCUGUGUCUCAGUCCCAAUGUGGCCGUCCGCCCUCUCAGGCCGGCUAUGCAUCAUCGUCUUGGUGGGCCUUUACCCCGCCAACCAACUAAUGCACCGCAGGUCCAUCCGCGCCCCAUCCCCUAAAGGAUGUUUCACAGAAAGAAGAUGCCUCCUUCCUGUACAUCGGGAUUUGUUCUCCGUUUCCAGAGCGUAUUCCCGGUGCGCGGGCAGGUUCCCUAGUGUUACUCACCCGUUCGCCACUAGAGACCCGAAGGUCUCUCGUUCGACUUGCAUGUAUUAGGCAUGCCGCAGCGUUCAUCCUGACGCCAGGAUACCG
RNAcentral lists this ribosomal RNA (501 nucleotides) under uncultured Allobaculum sp. RNAcentral's name for it is "partial 16S ribosomal RNA". Lineage: Bacteria; Bacillati; Bacillota; Erysipelotrichia; Erysipelotrichales; Erysipelotrichaceae. The record is from RNAcentral.